Molecule: long non-coding RNA, 2125 nt
Filed under: Cinara cedri
Lineage: Eukaryota; Metazoa; Arthropoda; Insecta; Hemiptera; Aphididae
Source: RNAcentral
AACGGUUUCAGAUUAAAAGGGCUCACUAUUUACUAUGGGUCUUUAGCAAUGUGCGGUAUGCUUAUAUGCCUCCCAUGACAUCGUCUGCCCGCAUGCUUAUGCACACAUCAUAGUGUUCGAUGUCAAGCGCGCGAGUAAAGUAAAAUCGACCUCUUUUUCGAACAAAACAUGUAAUCUUCUUUUGGACCCAGGGCCGUAUCUAGAUUUUUCCCCGGGGGAGGGGAGGAAUUUUAAAAUAUGUUAAUACACAUUCUCGUGUACACUUCGCGCCAAACUCAAAUCAGUUUUUAAAAAUCUCAUCUUAUUACUAGGUCUAUCACCGGCUGAUGGACAAAAGAUUGGUAUGUUUUUGUCAAAGAAACGUCUGUUUCGAAUCCUCUUAAGUCAAUCUUACAUCCUAACAAGUAGUAACUAUAGGUGCUUAAUAGGUGCUAUAGGUGCAACUAAUAGGUGCUUAAUGCUAUAUUAAUGCAAUUGACAACACGGUAAUAAUAACUAUAAGGAUCCUCAGAUCAAAUAUUUGAUAAAGAUAUUUAUGAUUUAAAACGACAAAAUAACAUAAGUACUAUUUAUGUGUCGGAAAACAUACCUAAAAUAAAACUAGAUACAUAAGGUAGUUUACGUCGCAUAAUAAUAAUACAUAAUAAAAAAAAAAUUAUUAUAAGACGAUAACACCUAUUUAAACAGUUUUUUACCUAGUUCGAUUUUAAGUGCGUUGUUGAUUAAAUUAUUAUAUCAUUCGCAGCCGCAGGUAAUCACUACUUACCUAACUAUUUAACCAAGUAUUUAACGGAUUCACCCGCUGCAUUUGAUUUAGUAACACUUAUAUUUGCUUUUAAUCAUGUAUAUUAUUUUCGUUGUAUGUAAAACGCAAAUGGUAUUCGUGAAAUUCGUAUUGUACUAAAUUUGCUCGCGUUCAGUCACAGGUCCGAAUCCAAUACCAUUAUGGUGCCAAAAUCGUAUGGCCCCUAAACCUUUUCAUAAUAUGCGUAUAAAACAUCUACGAAUGCUCAUAACACACUGCAAUUAAUAAAAACUAAAAUGAUCCUAUGCGCUCGGUUACAAGCAAAUAUUUUUCAAUAACGUCGAAAACGAAUAAUAUCGUUUAACAAUAUCAAUGUAUGUAUCCACAUGUCUGAACAGUGUUUACAUUUAUGACAUUCAUCUAACUGAUAUUUUAUAGUAUAGUAAUAGUUACGUUUAUCGAAAUUUUAAUAAUGAAUACAUUUCAAUGACAUUACUUUUUUUUUAGAUUCUGAGCGCAGUGAAGAACGUAUAUUAGUUCUAGUAUGAUGUGUACUUAUUUUUAUUUUUUUUGGUCUGUGUACAAUUUGUCUACUAAAAAUUUGCUCUGAUCGAAAAAUGACAAGAUGGCUUUUUUGUAACAUACAUUUUGGAUUUAGUUGGUGUAUUAGAAUGGUAAUUUUUUGAUUUUUUCAAACAGUUUUAAUUAUAAUCGACAAAAACCGGAAAAAACCAUGUAUAGAAAAUACGGACAAAUUUUCAGCAGUAAAAGUGUCACUAUUUUUGAUUUUUUUUUAUACCAGAAAUUUUGUUUCGAAUUUCAAAAAUAGUAUCUUUUUUCAAAGAAAAUUUUUCUUGUUGGCACGUAACAAUUGUUACUUUAAGGUCGUUUUUUCAUUUUCCUUGUCGUUUUCUUAAUAACUGGCAAAAAACGUAGGAAAACCGGGAGAAGGUUUAAGUAAAAACCGUUAUAUGAAAUGACUAAUGAGGGCUUUUUAAACGUGUCUAUAUGCUUUUACAUUUUUUUUUCUAAUCCGUGGAGGACAUAGACGUUUAGAAUGUUAUAAGUUAUUGUAUAUAAACUUACCAGCAUUAUCAAUGUUUUCCACAGAUGUUAGCGGGUAGUAUAACGCUGAAACAUUUAGCCCGAGUCAAUAUAAAAGAAAAAAAAAAUUGUAAUGUCGGUCCUGUCGCUAAUUAUAAAACGCGACCAGGAACGCAUAAUGCUAUGCAUAUUGUAUAUACAAAACUAAAAAGUGAUAUAAUGACAGAUAGACCUGUUGCCACACGAUGAAUGCACCAAACAAGACACCGACUCGUCGUCGUCAUCGCGAACACGUUUAUUAAUUAUAAUAUAUUUACAUUUACCGAUCUUUAGUGC